RNAcentral lists this long non-coding RNA (2898 nucleotides) under Equus caballus (horse). RNAcentral's name for it is "lncRNA (ENSECAG00000053132.1)". The record is from RNAcentral. Lineage: Eukaryota; Metazoa; Chordata; Mammalia; Perissodactyla; Equidae.
GGCAGUUCCACCAGAUCACCUCCUCGCCCACGCCCCAGCGUCUUUACAGGGCUCUGUGGGCCCGACGGCAGGAGGAGGCGGAGGUCCAAGGCCACAGUGGGGUGGGCCUCGAGCAGGAAGCAGAGUCCCCACUCCAGGGAGACCAAGUCGUGGCACUGAAAGUCCCUCCUGUGCCGUGGAGCCCCAUGAGACCCCCUGGGACAACCAAGACUGUUGGCCACCCCAUCUGGCUGUUCCCACUUCCGGAGUGAUUUGAUCUCAGUUUCCUGGCCGAGAGAAAAGCAGACACACCAGGAGACAGGACACAAUCCAAACCCCAGGGACCCAUUUCAAAGCCGGCGUCAAGCCCUUCAGCCUCCUUUUUGGCUGCUUGUUGGGGAAGAAAGUGCGUCCAGAAGGAAAUUCACCAACUAUUAAAAGCGAGUCCCUUUAGGGACAGAGCCUGGGAGGAAGGGCUGGAGCUGGCCUCAGGGGCUGCAGACAUUCAAAUCAUCGCUGGAUCUCUCCUCUCCUCUCCUCUCCUCCCCUCUCCUCUCCUUCUCCUCCUUUCCCUCCUCCUCUCUCUCUCUCUCCUUCCCUCCCCUCCCCUCUCCACUCUGCACACCGCCCUCAGUUUUUCCUACAGCACCAGACUUCUUCCAUUCAGUAGGGGGAGCAGCAGCUGCAGGGGCAGGAAGAGAGGGGCCUUGGCCACAGACAGCUCUAAGCUUUCCUUGUCCCAGUCCAGGGACUGAAAAGGAGCUUUUGUCAUCUCAGCCUGGCGUCUGUCUGUAAAAUCCCCGAGAAGGACUCUGAUUGGCCCUGCUUGAGUCACAUGUCCUCUUGCCAGACCAAUCACCACAGCCAGGAGAAUGGCGUCUGGGGAUUGCCAGGCUGGCUGGGGUUGCGGCAGUGAAACAGCUGGUACCCCAGAACCAAGCACGGAAGGGGAUGGUCCGCGAAAGAUCUCGGGAGCACGGUCUUCCUCCUGUCUCUCAUGCAAUCUCAGCCCCGAACUCCUUGACGCCCCUGGCCAAACCUGAUGAGAAUAUCAGAGAACCUUGUCCAAGGGGCAGUGGGGAUGCAGGGGUCCCAUGCUGUGCCCAAAGCCGGAAGUCUACGUGUUGGACUGGACAGAGCUACUGAAACAUGCUAAGGCCCUCCCACCGAACUUGGAACAAAGUCCGCACCCCCCACCGUGACCUGCAAGGCCUGCUGGGCCCAGCCCCCAUGGGGCCUUCUCCUGCGCUGUCGCCAGGGACCGCCUGCUCGCAUGGCUCAGGUCCCUGCUCAGAUGCUACCUUCCCUGACCACCCUGUUAAGGGGACCCCCUGACCCCACACCAGCCUCUCUAUGUUUAUAUAGACUUGUCCCUGUCUGAAAAUCUCCUGGUUUACUUAUUUACUGGACUGGAAGCUUCCUGAGGCUGAAACUAGGCCAGUCUUGUCUCUGCUGGGUCCCAGAGCCCAGCCCAAGGCCCAGCACAGAGACAAGACUCAUGAAUGUUUGUUGGUUGAAUGAAUGAACGGCCGUUCUAAGUCAUCCUGCCUUAGGCCUCAACAGAUGGCAGACGGGAGGAGUCUGCCUGGUGCCACCUGGUGAGUGAAUGAGUGGAUGUUGUCAUCUUACAUAAAGGAUGCGGAAAUCAGCUUCCUCCUCCCUUCCUACCCAGUUAUCCAGUUGCCCUUCAAAACCCUCAGUCUGACCCUCCGUCCACAGAACCCGGGGCAGCCGGUCCUCCUCGAGCAGCAAAGGCCCUUCGCAUGGCCAGUACAGCUAAAUAAACUGUCUGUGGAAUAAUUGAUAAUUACUGCACUUGAGUUCCCAUUCAAGUUCAAUGUUUGUGACUAAAAGCUAUGUCCAAGCCCUUCAGAGGGGACACCUCCGUUCUCAGAGCAUCUGCAUUUCUAACCAGGCUCCUCCUCGAGCACGGAGCCCUCACUGCAGGAGCACAGAGUGAAAAGCCGCGGGCCCCUCUGCUUUCAAUUCUAACAGCCACCGGAAGUGGGAUCCUGGGCACCCAGCACCUUGAAUUACCAAGACUGGGGUCAGACCUUCCUCCGAGCUGGCGCAAGAGAAGCUGGAGAGGAAGGGGAGAGAGGAGGAGCAGGAGGAAACACGCUGGGCCGGCUGCGGGCGCAGCAGGAGCCAUCCUCGAUCACCAGGCCGAAGGAGCACCGGCUCCCGAGGGAGGCUCCCGGGGUGCGGUGGAGGCGCUCGGCUUCUCUCUUCAACAAGACCUGGAGAAUGUUAAUUGUUACUGUAGGUGUGUGGCGUGCAGACUAUUUGUAAGUGAGAGAAGAGUUCUGUUGCUGUGACUAAAGAGAGCGCAAUGGGUGUGGAAGACUGGAACCCGUGAGUUCCUCAAGCUGAGGCUCGGUUAAACCAUCAAUGCUUUCCUGCCAAUUGGCGCUUGCAGCUCGAGCCUUCACGCCUUUGCACACAGUCGAGGUAAUAACCACCGUGCUGCGAAAAGGCAGCCGGCUGGCAGGGGCCGCUCGCUGCACAGAGCGUUCUUUGGUUCAAAAAAGAAAAAAAAUCAUAAAAUUAAAAAAAACUGUUUAAGCUUAAAAACUAAAAGGAAGCAGUUGGCUCCAGUUGUCGAAAUGUUUUAUAAAGCAACAGCAAGAUGAAAAAAAAUUAAGAAUAAAAAAUAAACUGUCCCAGAAUGCUGAGAGAGGGCCAAAAAUAUUAAUAUGCGGGAACAUGGCAAAGCUUCUGCAAGCUGUAAAUAUUCCCUUCGGUUCCCAUGUAUGAUCGGCAAGGAUGGUGGUCCUUUUCUCCCUCGGCUCUUCCUGUUUGAAAUCUACGACAAAUAACAUUUCUUCAAAAAAUAAAAUAAGUAUUAGGGGAAGAAAGUGUGUGUGUCAGAGGUCCCUGAAUUUCUUAUUUUAAAUAUUAUAGGGAGGGGCCUGCCCG